Molecule: ribosomal RNA, 481 nt
Filed under: uncultured bacterium
Lineage: Bacteria
Description: bacterial SSU rRNA
Rfam family: Bacterial small subunit ribosomal RNA
Source: RNAcentral
CUAGGACGAACGCUGGCGGCGUGCCUAACACAUGCAAGUCGAGCGGAGAUGUAUAGCAAUAUAUAUCUUAGCGGCGGACGGGUGAGUAACGCGUGGGUAACCUGCCUUAUACAGGGGGAUAACACAGGGAAACUUGUGCUAAUACCGCAUAACACAGACGAUUGGCAUCAAUUGACUGUCAAAGGAGCAAUCCGGUAUAAGAUGGACCCGCGUCCAAUUAGCUAGUUGGUGAUGUAACGGACCACCAAGGCGACGAUUGGUAGCCGAACUGAGAGGUUGAUCGGCCACAUUGGGACUGAGACACGGCCCAGACUCCUACGGGAGGCAGCAGUGGGGAAUAUUGCGCAAUGGGGGAAAAACCCCUGACGCAGCAACGCCGCGUGAAGGAUGAAGGUUUUCGGAUCGUAAACUUCUUUGAUGAGGGAAGAAUAAUGACGGUACCUCAAAAACAAGCCACGGCUAACUACGUGCCAGCCGCCGC